ACAUACGAUCAUAGCUUGUAGAAAACACGGGAUCCCGUCCGCUCUCCCUUAGUUAAACUACAAAGCGCUGGAAUAGUACUACGGUGGGUGACCACGUGGGAAUUCCCAGUGUUGUAUGUA
Molecule: ribosomal RNA, 120 nt
Organism: Ceratocystis platani
Lineage: Eukaryota; Fungi; Ascomycota; Sordariomycetes; Microascales; Ceratocystidaceae
Source: Rfam